UGCGCAGGCGGCUUAUUAAGUCAGUGGUGAAAUCUCUCGGCUCAACCGAGAAACUGCCAUUGAAACUGAUAAGCUUGAGUAUGGCUGUGGUAGGCGGAAUAUAGCAUGUAGCGGUGAAAUGCUUAGAUAUGCUAUAGAACACCGAUCGCGAAGGCAGCUUACCAAGCCAUUACUGACGCUCAUGCACGAAAGCGUGGGGAGCAAACAGGAUUAGAUACCCUGGUAGUCC
RNAcentral lists this ribosomal RNA (229 nucleotides) under uncultured bacterium. RNAcentral's name for it is "partial 16S ribosomal RNA". It matches the Rfam family "Bacterial small subunit ribosomal RNA", at positions 568 to 796 of the family's 1533-position model. The record is from RNAcentral.